UCUUGGAAUUUCUUCCUGAAGCACAGCAGCUGAAGCAGUCGAAUGUUACCAAACCAGAAGAAAAAAAAAAUGUGAACUGGAAUGAAUUACUAGUCUGGAAGACCAGAAAAAUUUUGCAAUUAGAACAGAUGUUAGACAUUUAUCAAGUGCUUGGGGUUAAAAAACAACAACAUCAAGCUUCACUAGGUCUGUAUGUCCCAGCAGUAAGGUAAGUUGCUUUUGGAAUACUGCAAUUGUUGCAUUACCUGUUAAUACUCAGGUUACAUUAGCUGUUAAUAUUGUUUUGCAAUAUAUACAGGGCAUAGUGUUGUACAAAUAGAAUAAUAAUAAUAAUAUAGAAUUAUUUGGGUGCACAGUUAGGAUGGAAAUUCACUCUGCAGUACAAACUGACUCUUUGGUGAAAGUUUCCCUCCACACAAGAGGGACAGUUACAAAGAACAGCAAUAAUGGGAGUUUGUGUCCUGUUUGAGGCAUUUCUCCCGAAAGCUCGUGGACCUGAUUGUGCAAAGUCACUUCGUGUAAUUGUUCCCUGGUUUUGUAAAACCUAAGCUGCUCUUGGCUGAUUUAGUGUCAGGAGAUAGCUAGUGACCUGUGUACAUCUUAAUUCUAAACUAAGGUUUGAAUCUUUUGCAGGUAGGGGGGUGUCACAGGUGGGUUAUCAAGUCAUCAAUGUGGGGUUAACUAAAAUAGUUUUAUUAAUGAUGACAA
Molecule: long non-coding RNA, 708 nt
Organism: Empidonax traillii (willow flycatcher)
Lineage: Eukaryota; Metazoa; Chordata; Aves; Passeriformes; Tyrannidae
Exons: 3
Source: RefSeq, a predicted model, not a curated record